Molecule: transfer RNA, 74 nt
Filed under: Alcaligenes endophyticus
Lineage: Bacteria; Pseudomonadati; Pseudomonadota; Betaproteobacteria; Burkholderiales; Alcaligenaceae
Description: tRNA-Cys
Rfam family: tRNA
About the family: Transfer RNA (tRNA) molecules are approximately 80 nucleotides in length.
Source: RNAcentral
GGCGCGGUGGCAGAUCGGUUAUGCGACGGACUGCAAAUCCGUCAAGGUUGGUUCAAUUCCAGCCCGCGCCUCCA